This 468-nucleotide ribosomal RNA is filed under the name uncultured bacterium. RNAcentral's name for it is "partial 16S ribosomal RNA". It matches the Rfam family "Bacterial small subunit ribosomal RNA", at positions 28 to 507 of the family's 1533-position model. The record is from RNAcentral.
GACGAACGCUGGCGGCGUGCUUAACACAUGCAAGUCGAACGGAAAGGCCCUGCUUUUGUGGGGUGCUCGAGUGGCGAACGGGGGAGUAACACGUGAGUAACCUGCCCUUGACUUUGGGAUAACUUCAGGAAACUGGGGCUAAUACCGGAUAGGAGCUCCUGCUGCAUGGUGGGGGUUGGAAAGUGUCGGCGGUUGGGGAUGGACUCGCGGCUUAUCAGCUUGUUGGUGGGGUAGUGGAGUACCAAGGCUUUGACGGGUAGCCGGCCUGAGAGGGUGACCGGCCACAUUGGUACUGAGAUACGGCCCAGACUCCUACGGGAGGCAGCAGUGGGGAAUAUUGCACAAUGGGCGGAAGUCUGAUGCAGCAACGCCGCGUGCGGGAUGACGGCCUUCGGGUUGUAAACCGCUUUCGCCUGUGACGAAGCGUGAGUGACGGUAAUGGGUAAAGAAGCACCGGCUAACUACGUG